Molecule: long non-coding RNA, 1070 nt
Filed under: Cricetulus griseus (Chinese hamster)
Lineage: Eukaryota; Metazoa; Chordata; Mammalia; Rodentia; Cricetidae
Description: lncRNA (ENSCGRG00015043421.1)
Source: RNAcentral
GUAAGGAACCCGAGCUCUUCUGGAUUCAGAAGCAGCCUCAGUGAGGCGCUUGCUGCGUGGAGCUUUCCAUCAUUCGGCUCUGAGAGGAAGUGCAGGCAGGCGCCCUCCCCUGCCCCCACCGUCUGCCUUCCUGCCUCCCUCCACCUCUCUUCUCCGACCCCGACCGUGCUUCCCAGACCCUUUGUUCUCCAGCUCCGGGCGGGCUUGUCCUCCCCUCUUCCCAUGUCGCCGCCUCUCGGGUCUCCAGGAAGUGGAAGGGUAAAGACUGACGCCAGGGGCUAGAGAAACCAUGUCUACUUCUCGGCGCUGAGAAGUCCCAGGGACCCUUUUGGGUCCGAACCCCGACAUCCUCGGACCUUGGGCGCAGGGUCCCGGCAGCGAGGCACCGCGCGGCCUGGUAGAGAGGACCCAAGGUCCCCAGUGGGGAUAAUGGGACAGUGUUAUUUCGCGCUCCGUAGAGUCUGAUUGCAAACGAAAGCUCUCCCCACACCACCCUCGGCGGUGCCACCCGCAUCGCCUCUCUGCCGCGCGUGACCCCAAGGGCUUGGGCGAUUGUGUCUCCCUGAGUACAGUUACAAUUGUGUUCAGCUUAAUUUCUUACUUGGAUGAAGGCGUCGCACCGAGUAAAGCGCGGGGAGCAGGAUGUGGGGGAGGGGAUUUAGAGCGGGAAACUGCUGGGAAUGGAAGAACAACUGCACAGUAAAAGGCUGCUACGGGUCCCGGGUCCGAGGUGACCAAGUAGCACUGCUUAUCCAGGCUCAGGGUCUGGGCCCAGCAGCCACAGCGCGCGGCAUCGGCCCAGUGCACGAAUCUCCGCAGAGUGCCAUACACACUCCCUGCACUACAGCACGUUUGCGCUGGGCCGGGUGUGGGGGAAGGGCUCCUUACGAGCAGGGUGUCACCAAGUAGGUGCUGCUGCUGGAGUAGCGGCGCGGCCUAUGGUGGCUGUCAGCUCCAGGCUUCCUAGAGCCCCCUCCCGCCUCUUAGCUUGACCCAGGUCCUCACUGGCUGGUCUGAAGGCGCGCUAGCAGUUCUCUCCGCAGCGGGUUCCGGGGGACACACCCCGUCCC